This 393-nucleotide ribosomal RNA is filed under the name uncultured bacterium. RNAcentral describes it as "partial 16S ribosomal RNA". It matches the Rfam family "Bacterial small subunit ribosomal RNA", at positions 523 to 918 of the family's 1533-position model. The record is from RNAcentral.
AUACGGAAGGUCCGGGCGUUAUCCGGAUUUAUUGGGUUUAAAGGGAGCGCAGGCGGAGAUGCAAGCGUGACGUCAAAUUUCGGGGCUCAACCCCGUCUCGCGUCGCGAACUGCGUCCCUUGGUUGCGGGAAGGGGAGGCGGAACUCGUGGUGUAGCGGUGAAAUGCAUAGAUAUCACGAAGAACUCCGAUCGCGAAGGCAGCCUUCCGGCCCGUCAACGACGCUCAUGCUCGAAGGUGCGGGUAUCAAACAGGAUGAGAUACCCUGGUAGUCCGUACAGUAAACGAUGGACACCCGCGGUUUGGCCUGUAUGGCUGAGCCGCCAAGCGAAAGCGUUAAGUGUCCCACCUGGGGAGUACGCCGGCAACGGUGAAACUCAAAGGAAUUGACGGGG